This is a non-coding RNA of Corylus avellana, 789 nucleotides long. Lineage: Eukaryota; Viridiplantae; Streptophyta; Magnoliopsida; Fagales; Betulaceae. The record is from RefSeq and is a predicted model, not a curated record.
UUGUCUUCAAGUGAAAUCAGUUGUUUUGCUGACUGGAAUUGAAGAUCAUGUUAGCCAUCCACUCUGUUUAUGUGUCUCUUGUUAGUGCAGUGCUCAUAUUGAUCUCAAUUGUUGUAAAAUGCGAAUAUCCAUGUCUCCCCUCUUUCAACAUCUCACCUCACUUGAAAAUCUGUCUAUUCUUCGCUGCAAGGAACUUAUCAGCAAUGAGAAUGAAGAUGGCGCAGGAUGCCUUGGACCUACAAGAUUUGGUCAUCUAUCCAUAAUAGAUGUUCCAAAUUGGUUUCUCUCCCAAGAGAGCUUAGAGAUGUUACCACUCUCCAAGGGCUUCAAAUUAUGGACUAUCCUAGUUUGGCAUCUUUGCCAGAGUGGAUAGGAUAUCUCACUUCACUUUAGGAGCUUGGAAUCGUAAAUUGUCCGAAUUUAAUAUCAUUGCCCGAAGGUAUGCACCGCCUCACCUCUUUACGUCGUUUGAUAAUUGUGAAGUGUUCUCGCUUGGAGGAAAGAUGUGAACAAAGAAUGGGAGAGGAUUGGCCAAAGAUUUCUCACGUUCCAAACUUUCAAAAUGGCGGAGAUGGUAAUGGUAUAGAGUGGAACGCAAGCCAAACUUGCCAAAUUUAUCAGGAACAAUUAAAGGUUUUACGUAUAGACGCUUCUUCGAACCUUGCCGACAAUUAGAUUUGAAGCAACAGGAGCUUUGAAUAUAUUAAAACAGAGCUUUGAAUACUAACAUAGAGAUACUUUCAGAUCUGCAUAUCACCCACUAAUUUCAUUUUUCUGUAAGUUGUCUUG